Gossypium arboreum is the source of this 347-nucleotide long non-coding RNA. RefSeq lists it as uncharacterized. Lineage: Eukaryota; Viridiplantae; Streptophyta; Magnoliopsida; Malvales; Malvaceae. The transcript is spliced from 2 exons. The record is from RefSeq and is a predicted model, not a curated record.
AAAUCAUUUGUAGCAUUUGAAAAAAAAAAAAAGUGAGGGGGGGAAAUUCUCUCUGGACCAGGUCCAACUCCGACCAGGAGGGCUGCCGUCGCCGUCAUCGCCGGCCACCGUGUAGGUGCAAGUGGAGGGCGGUGGAUGUGACGUGGAGGUGGCAGCAGAGGUGGUGGCUAGGCUCUGACAGUGGCUAGGGCGCCACUUAGGGAUAGGGGGCUAAGGUUUAUUUCUUUUUUUUUUUUGUAUGUUAAGGUCUUUAGUGGGCUUAGGGUUUAAUUUAUUUGGGCCAAAAUUGGGCUUCUACACUAUGCUUAUAGUUCAUAAUAAAUUAAGCAUUUUCCUUUUACAACAAA